RNAcentral lists this transfer RNA (74 nucleotides) under Chloroflexi bacterium ADurb.Bin180. RNAcentral's name for it is "tRNA-Val". It matches the Rfam family "tRNA". From Rfam's summary of the family: Transfer RNA (tRNA) molecules are approximately 80 nucleotides in length. Their secondary structure includes four short double-helical elements and three loops (D, anti-codon, and T loops). Further hydrogen bonds mediate the characteristic L-shaped molecular structure. tRNAs have two regions of fundamental functional importance: the anti-codon, which is responsible for specific mRNA codon recognition, and the 3' end, to which the tRNAs corresponding amino acid is attached (by aminoacyl-tRNA synthetases). tRNAs cope with the degeneracy of the genetic code in two manners: having more than one tRNA (with a specific anti-codon) for a particular amino acid; and 'wobble' base-pairing, i.e. permitting non-standard base-pairing at the 3rd anti-codon position. Lineage: Bacteria; Bacillati; Chloroflexota. The record is from RNAcentral.
GGGCGAAUAGCUCAGUCGGGAGAGCAUCUGACUUACAUUCAGAAGGUCACAGGUUCGAGCCCUGUUUCGCCCAC